AUUGAACGCUGGCGGCAGGCUUAACACAUGCAAGUCGAGCGGGGAGAUGUAGCUUGCUACAUUUCCUAGCGGCGGACGGGUGAGUAAUGCUUAGGAAUCUGCCUAUUAGUGGGGGACAACAUUCCGAAAGGAAUGCUAAUACCGCAUACGCCCUACGGGGGAAAGCAGGGGAUCUUCGGACCUUGCGCUAAUAGAUGAGCCUAAGUCAGAUUAGCGAGUUGGUGGGGUAAAGGCCUACCAAGGCGACGAUCUGUAGCGGGUCUGAGAGGAUGAUCCGCCACACUGGGACUGAGACACGGCCCAGACUCCUACGGGAGGCAGCAGUGGGGAAUAUUGGACAAUGGGCGAAAGCCUGAUCCAGCUAUGCCGCGUGUGUGAAGAAGGCCUUUUGGUUGUAAAGCACUUUAAGCGAGGAGGAGGCUACUUGGAUUAAUACUCUAGGAUAGUGGACGUUACUCGCAGAAUAAGCACCGGCUAACUCUGUGCCAGCCGCCGCCGUAA
RNAcentral lists this ribosomal RNA (501 nucleotides) under uncultured bacterium. RNAcentral's name for it is "partial 16S ribosomal RNA". It matches the Rfam family "Bacterial small subunit ribosomal RNA", at positions 30 to 523 of the family's 1533-position model. The record is from RNAcentral.